GCGGGUGUGUUGUAGCGGUAGCAAACAACCUUCCCAAGGUUGCAGUGGCAGUUCGACUCUGCUCACCCGCU
RNAcentral lists this transfer RNA (71 nucleotides) under Chloroflexota bacterium. Its description in RNAcentral is "Chloroflexi bacterium tRNA-Gly". It matches the Rfam family "tRNA". From Rfam's summary of the family: Transfer RNA (tRNA) molecules are approximately 80 nucleotides in length. Their secondary structure includes four short double-helical elements and three loops (D, anti-codon, and T loops). Lineage: Bacteria; Bacillati; Chloroflexota. The record is from RNAcentral. RNAcentral also lists the same sequence under 1 other name.